This 93-nucleotide ribosomal RNA is filed under the name Pteropus alecto (black flying fox). The record is from RNAcentral. Lineage: Eukaryota; Metazoa; Chordata; Mammalia; Chiroptera; Pteropodidae. RNAcentral also lists the same sequence under 1 other name.
GCAUAUGGAUGUCUGAUCUUGGAAGCUAAGCAGGGUUGGGCCUGGUCAGUACUUGGAUGGAAGACCACCUAGGAAGACCAGGUGCUGUAGGCG